RNAcentral lists this ribosomal RNA (398 nucleotides) under Pseudoclavibacter sp. AZTITEMP154. RNAcentral describes it as "bacterial SSU rRNA". It matches the Rfam family "Bacterial small subunit ribosomal RNA", at positions 934 to 1335 of the family's 1533-position model. Lineage: Bacteria; Bacillati; Actinomycetota; Actinomycetes; Micrococcales; Microbacteriaceae. The record is from RNAcentral.
GGAGCAUGUGGUUUAAUUCGAUGCAACGCGAAGAACCUUACCAAGGCUUGACAUAUACCGGAAACGUUCAGAAAUGUUCGCCCCGCAAGGUCGGUAUACAGGUGGUGCAUGGUUGUCGUCAGCUCGUGUCGUGAGAUGUUGGGUUAAGUCCCGCAACGAGCGCAACCCUCGUCGUAUGUUGCCAGCACGUAAUGGUGGGAACUCAUAUGAGACUGCCGGGGUCAACUCGGAGGAAGGUGGGGAUGACGUCAAAUCAUCAUGCCCCUUAUGUCUUGGGCUUCACGCAUGCUACAAUGGCUGGUACAAUGGGCUGCAAUACCGCGAGGUGGAGCGAAUCCCAAAAAGCCAGUCUCAGUUCGGAUUGGGGUCUGCAACUCGACCCCNGAAGUCGGAGUCGC